Molecule: long non-coding RNA, 1093 nt
Organism: Drosophila eugracilis
Lineage: Eukaryota; Metazoa; Arthropoda; Insecta; Diptera; Drosophilidae
Exons: 3
Source: RefSeq, a predicted model, not a curated record
UUGAACUUUGAAACUUUUCCGACCGGCAAUAAAUCUAAUUGCCAAAUGCCAGUUGAAUUUUCCAAAAGCCAACGGAAAAUAUCAAGUGAAAUGAAAUAAAUAAACUGAACAAAUCUCACCUGUGGUUUCAACGUGCUGCCGUCUCCGGCAGACCUUACAAAAUGUUUUAAGACGGGUUUUUUGAGCUAACCAAUACCUGGUUACUUUAUAUCCUCUUUUUUUUUUAUUAUAUAAUAUGGGAAAAUGUGUUUUACAAAGACUAAAGUUCAGCUCUUAACUAGGGAAAGUCAGGCAAAAGGAAGUAUUCUUGUAAGGCCUUUAAGAAUUCUUUUUUCUAGCAAAAAAAUCGUGAGUGUAACUUCUGUAAGAUUGUCUACUGUAUACCCCCCUUAAGCCUCUCUUUUACAGGGUAUUUUUUUUUCUGGAAACAAGCUCGAAGUAACUGAGGAGGAAACGUGUAGCGGACAAUCCAAGCAACCGCAUUGGACGACAGCGACAACGAACCUUCUCAGACACUGUGUCAACAAUGUCUGACGAAUUGUCAAAAACCGCAAAAUGCGGUCUUGUUGUUGCUGUUAGUGUUGUUGUUGUUGUUGUUGUUGCUGUCGGUGACAAUGUGAACGAGCAGCAAGGACGAACAGGAUGCAAACUCAAACACACAUACACCCACAAAACGGAACUUGCGACAGGAUAGUGCGGACAAUUUGCGGGUGAAAAUUCGUAAGCUUUUCUAGUUUUUUUUUGGCUAUAUUUUAUUGUUAUCAUUUCUAUGUACGCAUCGCCUGCCAGCGACAAUAAAGCAUGAAUUUGGCGAGGAUACGUUAUUCGGCGGAUACGUGGCUCUAAAAAAUUUGUCAACGAGCUUAAGGCCAACGAGCAGCGAACAGUGAGCAGCUACCACUUGACAAUGCGUUUUUGGAAAAUUUCUCACUAACUUUGCCUAUUAAUGCUGUUUUUACAGUUGGAUGGAAAUGGUGUUGGUAUGGAAAUAACGUGUAAGGAAGCCUAAAAUCAUUUUAGUGGAUGGGCUACUGUAAUGGUUAUUUGUUGUUGCCACACCCGACUCUGCCACAGCCACGUUUUUAACCACUUU